GUCUUAAAUACUUCUCGUUAAGUGAGAAGUUGCUCACCAAAGAGUGACACAGGGAGAAGUUGAACGGGUCUCACAGACCCGAUUACCAUACAAGGGUUAAAAGCAGUAAAUUAAAAGCAGAAAGACACAGGAAGUUGCCUGUUGUUUUACGAGAAGUUGCUCGUUAAGCGAGAAGUUGCUCGCUAAGUGAGAGUUGCUCACACAAACAAAAAAUUGCUAGCAAUAAAUUUAAAGUGACCUCAGCUGUGCCGCAGCGAAAAUACUAACCUAAAUCCUCCUAGCGUGUAAACCCCUCUGGAAAUCACUGAACAUGGGUCAGAAUUAUUCAAAGACCACAGACAGGUCCGAUAAAAAAUCUAAAGUACCUGUAAAACCAAAAAUUAAUAAAAUACAAAAUAAAGUCUCAAAUAACGGCUCAGUAUAACUCCCAUUUCCGGUUACGUGUAACCUACGUCCGCGAAUCGGUGAAGACGUCCAUGAUCACGUAUCCAGAACAUGCGGGAGUGCUUAUGUGACUGACUUUGUUUACAACUUAAGAAGUUCAAUGCAUUCUAAUUUCUUUUCGGAGCCUUAUCCCGAACGAUUAUCGCCAGAAAACAGGUCAGUAGAAAUGUUGAAUAUCAUUUGUGAUAAGAAAAGUAGUCUGCUUAAAAAGUCCUGUAGAAAAUAUAUGAUAGAAUGCCGCGACGUGAUGCAUCAAAUGUUACCGCUAUGGAAAAAGGGACCGGAACCAGGUGUAGAUGCUUUAACAUCAAAUAAAACUAGUGCAGGCUCUAGCAAAGAAAAUAAACCUACCGCAGGAAAAGCUAGUCUUGCAUGUUCAGCCUACAGCCCCACACCCUUAAGAUGAGACCGAAUUAAUAGUCGCUGUAGCAGCUGCACGUAAACAAUGUCAGCAUUCUGAUCCAACCAGCUCAAAAGAAAGCGACGAAAAACCUGAAUCACAUGCAACGGAUCUUAGCCAUCUCUUUAAACAGGAUCAGGAAAAACAAUAUAUACGCCGCAAGGAAGAAUUAGCAGAACAUAGAAAGAGAGAAAAACUUUUGAAAGAAGAAUGUGAGGAACUUAUGAAAAACAAUUUAGACGACUAUGAAAAAAAAAACUUUUGCAUCAGGCAGUGUCCACAAUAGACACCCACAUGAAACACCACGAUAUCGUAGCUAGAGGUUUAGAGGUAGCUAAAGAAAUACCUGUUACCCGAACUUUAAUAAAGACUUAUCUAAAAGGAAAAAAGGAAAAACAAAGCCGGAAUGACAAAGGUCCUCACGCCAACACUCGCGGUAGUAAACAAACAGACCCAAAGCAUGAUAAAGCAUCCACAACUGCAGAGUUUUUGUGGGUAAAUAAUGACAAAAUCACCAAUUUCUUUAAGAAUCUAAAGAAAUUCCUGCUAACAAUGUCCAGAGACAAAAGUGACUUAAAUGCAGUAACUAUGUGUAAACAGAAGCCUGAUGAAUCUAUCCUAGUAUUCAUAAAACGCUUUAUGCACUGUUGGACAAGCUAGAGGUGCAAAUUUAGCUCAGUUUUCCAGCAGCCGCAGACACCCAGAGCAAAAAUGAAUUUGUGUAUUUAAUUUAACAUAAAGGGUGAAAUGUUUGCUGACACUGAUAACAGCUUAUGUUUUCUCUGCCCUAUGUACCGACAUGAUGGAGAAGGAACAUCCUCUGUGUCAGCUGGACCCUCAGCAGAGAAUGAACUCAACAUCCUUUUUGUCCGGUACUCUAUGUCACACACUGUGCCAAAAAAAAAAAAAACGUGUACAGACGCCACUAACAGGUAAUCCCAUGACUGGGAGCCACACUUUUGUUUCUCUCACACUGUUCAACAACAUGAUAACUGCUCACACAAGUGAAGGUCAAACAGUGAUUUUGUUACAUAACUCAGACAUAGGUUACGAAAUAUGUCGUCACAUAGAUCUAACCUACCCUAUCGACUGUACUAUUUCUGCACUUACGUUGCCAGCUGAAUACCAGAAUAUGACAUUGUGGUCAAAAAGUGAGAAUGAUAUAGGAUUUAUUGACUGUACACUUUAUCACGUACACCUAUUAAAACACAUCAAGCUAGUAUAUGUCAAGCAACAUCCCCUUUCCACGGAAAAAGCCGCAGCUCUAGAUGUCAUCAUAGGAGAUUUAUUGACUACAGGAGUAAUAAAGCCCACACUCCUGUCAAUCCUGUGCCAAAGCCUAACAAACCUGGCGUAUGGCGUUUCAUACAAGACUUAAGGCAAAUUAAUGCAGUCAACAUUCCUCUGCCACCUCUCGUUUCAGAUGUUCACAGCAUAUUGACAUGCAUUGCAUACACAUUUUACCGUGGUGGAUUUAUGCUCCGCUCCUUUUUCUCAGUACCUGUGACACACAGCCGUUAUUUGCAUUCACACAUAGAAAUCAGCAGUACACUUGGACUCGUUUGCCCCAAGGCAUGAUAGACAGCUCUGCUGCUUUCUCAAUGGUGCUUCACUCCUCCAGGGCUGCACCCUGAUCCACAUGUGGAUGACCUCCUCCUCUGUGCUGAAAGUGAAAAACUAUGUCAAACUGCUACACACAUGCUUCUCCAGCACCUCCAAAAGACUGGCCACAAAGCAUAUGCAAAGAAAAUGCAGUACUGUCAGACUUCUGUUCAAUAUUUGGGAUUCACACUGUCUCACGGAAAACGUUCCAUGACUGCAGACAGGGUCAAAGCUGUGACCUCUGUCCCUCGUCCCACUACACAGAAGGAAAUGUUGUCCUUCCUGAGCAUGGUGAACUAUUGCAGACAGUGGAUACCAGACUGUUCUUUUCAUGACCACAUUCUGCGUGACUGUUGUAAAAAAGACAAGCCUCCUCGAAUACUGUGGUCCACAGAAAUGACUGCCUCUUUCAAUGCAUUACAGGGAGUGCUGACCUCCGCCACUCAAAGGUGCUGCCUGAAUUGUUCAGGAAUGCCAGCCUGCCUGAGGGCAGUAGCAGCUUGCUCUAUCAUGAUAAGGGACUGCGGGAAGCUCACACUCUCACAUGACACUAUUCUACACACCAAUCACCAGGUCACGACCAUUGUAGCAAACAUAACUAAACAACAUAUGCAAAUCUCACUAUAAAAGCGAGCAGCACACCUGAUUCGCCAGCACAUUUAUUGAUCCUAUGCUGUGUUCUUCUGACCGACAGGAUGGCUCAGACAGGCUUGAUGAUCAUGACUGCAUGACACGUAUACAGGAAUCCACAGCACAACGUCCAGACUUAGAGCAGACACCUAUCCCAGACUCAGCCACGGUUUAUGUGGACGGGUCCUGUUCAAGGCCGAAUGACAACUCAUUUCUUUGUGGCUAUUCAGUGGUAACAGUGCCUGACAUCAUACUAGAGGCUCACUCAUUACCAUUUCACUCAGCACAAAAAGCAGAGCUCAUGGCUUUAAUACGCGCCUGUGAGCUACAUUUGGAUAAGCAUGUGACGAUUUACACAGACAGCCGCUAUGCAUUUGGCGUUGUGCAUGACUUUGGCACAUUGUGGAGACAGAGAGGAUUUAGAUCUGCUGAUGGAAAAUAAAUUGCUAAAUUCUGAUUUUGUUCAAAGACUUUUUCAGGCUAUACAGCUGCCAUCGGCCAUUGCAGUUGUAAAAACGAAAGGACACAGUACAGCUGACACAGACGAAGCAACAGACUAUUUCCAACACCAUGGUCAGCUUCCAGAGGGGCACCGCUAGUAGAAGGUGAUGUAUAUUGCAUUGUCCACUGAUGUUCACAACCUGGUAGAAAAACUGAAUAAUAACUAUCAGAAAGUUUGUCUCUCUCAGCCUUUCCCCUCCACAGUUCCACCAGUGGAGACAAGGAGAUGCAUGUUGGAGAAGCCACUAAAACCAAGGACACUCUGGGAGGCCGCGUGUUCCAGCCCCCAGGCUUUACUGGCAGUGACGAAGAACCAGCAUCCUCACAGACGGACAACCUCAGUGGAUUCAUGCCAGCAGGGUUAAGACCAGCCCAAUCGGACCAUCUCAGGCGUCGGAUCAAGCAGACGACAUCUCCGGCGAGCCAGCGCCCGGAACUAGAGCAAAUAAACACACGGGUAGAUGACAUCUCCGGCGAGCCAGCGCCAGGAUCCAAUUUACACACACACACAAUCACUGAUUAAGACACAACGUCUGAAAGAACAACAACAAGGUACUCAAACAUCCAGCAGGAACAGAAAGCCAAAAGUACCACAUGAUGUCUAACCUGAUAAAGCCAGACUCAUUUCAUCCUGAUAAUGGAGAAAAUGAAAUGCCCAUUGUCAUCAUACGACGCUUAUUCUGUGUCUCUCGAACCUGGGACCAGGCCAGGAGACAACUGAAGAACUGUUUUUCUUAUAUACUUUCUUAUAUAUUUAGGUUAUUUAUCAUAUCUAUCGCAUUAACCUUAGGAUUUCUCUUUGCUAUUUUGUAUUGUAAACUGCAACCAUGUUCAUAUUUCUGCAGGUCAUAUUUUGCUGACUAUACCUCAUGCUCCAUUUUGCAAGACACCUACUUAAUGCACUCCUCACGCUCCCUAAAAUCAGUAAAUAGCAACAUAGACGCCACUAAUAAACCAUUUUAUGCACCCUCUAGAACAGGAGCUAACGCCUGGUAUGAAAAUGCCAGAACAGCCGCUCGUGAUUUAGGAAACAGUAACUGUUAUGUCUGUUCAAAGGCUAAUCCAGAACAGGUUAUAGUAGGAUACCCCAUAUCCGGUUUCCCCCUCACUGAGGGACUAGAGAAAAUCAGCGGAAAUAAUGCUCUCUUUAAAAACGCUUUACAGUUGACUCUGAGCCCUCUCGACUGCCUACUUAGACACACACAUAGAUUAUACAAAGGAUAACUAUAUAUUCUUCUCUGACUCCCCAGGUGCACGCUGUAAUGAGACAUGGCUAGCUGUCUCUGUGGCUGAAGUUGUAUCAUAUCUGGAGGAACACACACACAGUUCAAGUUCGAGCAGAGAAUCGAUCAUUGUUCCCCCAGACGGUGUAUUAAAUGACACUGACUGGGGGGAGUUAGUUAAAUCACACAUGGUCACGCGCCUAACUAGACCAAUCCCACGUGCUUAUUGGUUGUGCAAUAAUACUCUUAGAUUAGCUUUACCUGUUAAUUGGACCGGUACCUGUGGUCUAGUAACCGUUGAUGUAUGCUGUACUUUCAUUCCCAAUAAUACUGCUCCUAACGGUUCAUUCACACAAGCUAUGAAUAGACUUGAAGCAUUGCAGAUAGAACUAAUUGCCAAUACAGGUCACGGUCAGUGGCUACAUAAGUGGCUACAGGACACGUUUGGAAGAUGGAAGGAACUAAUUGUAGCCUUUGUAACCGUUGCAGCAUGUUUUUGAUGAUUAUUGUCUGUUGUGUGGUACCCUGUGUACGUUCAAUGAUAACCCGUAUAGCUACUAGUACAGCUACUUCAAUGUAUUUGCAAUUGGCACAAAUUGACCCAGAUUAUGUGUCAGAUGUCAUCAAUGAUGUUCCUGAUGUGUAUAUUGAACAUUAGGUUGUGAACUAUUACAUUUUAUGAUUUGCUUUUUAUAUUAUGUUAUUACAUUUGUGAUUUUUCCUUUCUAUUUGAGUUAUUAUUUUUAAAAAAUAAUAAAAGAGGGGAACUGUUAUGAUAUUUUGAUACCACGGUAAGCAUUUACAGGAUAUUGUUUUAUACAGGAAAACUGUUACUCAAUAAGGCCGAUCUACUAGUUGUUUUUCUCUUUCUCUGUGACCCAAGAAUUAAUGUGUAGGACUCACAAGCUGGUACCUGAAGGUCGAAAACACCACAGAGAUGAGACCACUUCCUUACUCCCAUCCUCCCUUUUUCUUUAUCUCCUGGAAAAGGCUCGUUAAAGGCUAGGUGGUUCGUUUCAGAAUUCACUGAUGAAAGAACUCUGUAUUCUAUGUCUAGGAGUGUAUUUUGCUGGGAUGAUCAUAAAUUAUAGCUGAACUGAUAAACUACACACAGGAUACUUCUUUGCUCAGAAGGCAGGAAGACGUUUCCUUAUUUGGUCUGUACCGGUUUGAACUGGGAAAGCUGACACACGAACCUUUUUUCAUCUAUAUAAACUGCUGUG
Astatotilapia calliptera (eastern happy) is the source of this 6023-nucleotide long non-coding RNA. The record is from Ensembl. NCBI's taxonomy places the organism in Eukaryota, Metazoa, Chordata, Actinopteri, Cichliformes, Cichlidae.